GACGAACGCUGGCGGCGUGCUUAACACAUGCAAGUCGAACGGAAAGGCCCUGCUUUUGUGGGGUGCUCGAGUGGCGAACGGGUGAGUAACACGUGGGUAACCUGCCCUUGACUUUGGGAUAACUUCAGGAAACUGGGGCUAAUACCGGAUAGGAGCUCCUGCUGCAUGGUGGGGGUUGGAAAGUUUCGGCGGUUGGGGAUGGACUCGCGGCUUAUCAGCUUGUUGGUGGGGUAGUGGCUUACCAAGGCUUUGACGGGUAGCCGGCCUGAGAGGGUGACCGGCCACUUGGGACUGAGAUACGGCCCAGACUCCUACGGGAGGCAGCAGUGGGGAAUAUUGCACAAUGGGCGGAAGCCUGAUGCAGCAACGCCGCGUGCGGGAUGACGGCCUUCGGGUUGUAAACCGCUUUCGCCUGUGACGAAGCGUGAGUGACGGUAAUGGGUAAAGAAGCACCGGCUAACUACGUG
This 467-nucleotide ribosomal RNA is filed under the name uncultured bacterium. RNAcentral describes it as "partial 16S ribosomal RNA". It matches the Rfam family "Bacterial small subunit ribosomal RNA", at positions 28 to 507 of the family's 1533-position model. The record is from RNAcentral.